GGAUUAGAUACCCUGGUAGUCCACGCCGUAAACGAUGUCUACUAGCUGUAGGGGUACUUGAGACCUUUGUAGCGCAGCUAACGCACUAAGUAGACCGCCUGGGGAGUACGGCCGCAAGGUUAAAACUCAAAGGAAUUGACGGGGGCCCGCACAAGCGGUGGAGCAUGUGGUUUAAUUCGAUGCAACGCGAAGAACCUUACCUACUCUUGACAUCCUUGGAAUCCUCUGGAGACAGAGGAGUGCCUUCGGGAACCAAGUGACAGGUGCUGCAUGGCUGUCGUCAGCUCGUGUCG
Molecule: ribosomal RNA, 293 nt
Filed under: uncultured bacterium
Lineage: Bacteria
Description: partial 16S ribosomal RNA
Rfam family: Bacterial small subunit ribosomal RNA
Source: RNAcentral